GACGAACGCUGGCGGCGUGCCUAAUACAUGCAAGUCGAGCGGACCACUUCGGUGGUCAGCGGCGGACGGGUGAGUAACACGUGGGCAACCUGCCUGUAAGACUGGGAUAACACCGGGAAACCGGUGCUAAUACCGGAUAAUCCUUCUCUUCUCAUGAAGAGAAGCUGAAAGACGGUUUCGGCUGUCACUUACAGAUGGGCCCGCGGCGCAUUAGCUAGUUGGUGAGGUAACGGCUCACCAAGGCAGCGAUGCGUAGCCGACCUGAGAGGGUGAUCGGCCACACUGGGACUGAGACACGGCCCAGACUCCUACGGGAGGCAGCAGUAGGGAAUCUUCCGCAAUGGACGAAAGUCUGACGGAGCAACGCCGCGUGAGCGAUGAAGGCCUUCGGGUCGUAAAGCUCUGUUGUCAGGGAAGAACAAGUACCGGAGUAACUGCCGGUACCUUGACGGUACCUGACCAGAAAGCCACGGCUAACUACGUGCCAGCAGCCGCAGUAA
RNAcentral lists this ribosomal RNA (500 nucleotides) under uncultured bacterium. Its description in RNAcentral is "partial 16S ribosomal RNA". It matches the Rfam family "Bacterial small subunit ribosomal RNA", at positions 28 to 523 of the family's 1533-position model. The record is from RNAcentral.